CGGUUCGAACCGUUUUUGCACUUUUGGAUUGGUUCGUCAAAGCCGUUUUUUUGGUCUUUGAACCGGGGUUUCGGUUCGGUUCAACGGUUCGAAAA
Long non-coding RNA from Rhagoletis zephyria (snowberry fruit fly), 95 nucleotides. RefSeq lists it as uncharacterized. NCBI's taxonomy places the organism in Eukaryota, Metazoa, Arthropoda, Insecta, Diptera, Tephritidae. The record is from RefSeq and is a predicted model, not a curated record.